AACGAACGCUGGCGGCAUGCCUAACACAUGCAAGUCGAACGAGACCUUCGGGUCUAGUGGCGCACGGGUGCGUAACGCGUGGGAACCUGCCCUUAGGUUCGGAAUAACUCCCCGAAAGGGGUGCUAACACCGGAUAAUGUCUUCGGACCAAAGAUUUAUCGCCUUUGGAUGGGCCCGCGUUGGAUUAGCUAGUUGGUAGGGUAAAAGCCUACCAAGGCGACGAUCCAUAGCUGGUCUGAGAGGAUGAUCAGCCACACUGGGACUGAGACACGGCCCAGACUCCUACGGGAGGCAGCAGUGGGGAAUAUUGGACAAUUGGCGAAAGCCUGAUCCAGCAAUGCCGCGUGAGUGAUGAAGGCCUUAGGGUUGUAAAGCUCUUUUACCCGGGAUGAUAAUGACAGUACCGGGAGAAUAAGCUCCGGCUAACUCCGUG
Molecule: ribosomal RNA, 433 nt
Filed under: uncultured bacterium
Lineage: Bacteria
Description: partial 16S ribosomal RNA
Rfam family: Bacterial small subunit ribosomal RNA
Source: RNAcentral